CCAUUACUUCUGUGUAAUGCGAUGAGAGGACGGAGAAGGCUAAAUCAGCCUGGCGUUGGUUGUCCAGGUGAAAGGAUGUAGGCAUGUAUCUUAGGCAAAUCCGGGGUACUCUAUGCUGAGAUCUGAUAGCAAGCUGUACUUGUACAGCGAAGUGGUUGAUGCCAUGCUUCCAGGAAAAGUCUCUAAGCUUCAGUUACACAGGAAUCGUACCCGAAACCGACACAGGUGGUCAGGUCGAGUAGACCAAGGCGCUUGAGAGAACUCUGCUGAAGGAACUAGGCAAAAUGGUACCGUAACUUCGGGAGAAGGUACGCUGUUGUUGGUGAUGGAACUCGCUUCCUGAGCUGACGACAGCCGCAGAAACCAGGCCGCUGCAACUGUUUAUUAAAAACAUAGCACUCUGCAAACACGAAAGUGGACGUAUAGGGUGUGAUGCCUGCCCGGUGCUGGAAGGUUAAUUGAUGGGGUUAGCGUAAGCGAAGCUCUUGAUCGAAGCCCCAGUAAACGGCGGCCGUAACUAUAACGGUCCUAAGGUAGCGAAAUUCCUUGUCGGGUAAGUUCCGACCUGCACGAAUGGCAUAAUGAUGGCGGCGCUGUCUCCAGCAGAGGCUCAGUGAAAUCGAAAUCGCUGUGAAGAUGCAGUGUACCCGCGGCUAGACGGAAAGACCCCGUGAACCUUUACUGCAGCUUGACACUGAACUUUGACCUUACUUGUGUAGGAUAGGUGGGAGGCUUUGAAGCUGGAACGCUAGUUCCAGUGGAGCCGUCCUUGAAAUACCACCCUGGUAAUGUUGAGGUUCUAACUCUGUCCCGUGAUCCGGGACGAGGACCGUGUCUGGUGGGUAGUUUGACUGGGGCGGUCUCCUCCUAAAGAGUAACGGAGGAGUACGAAGGUGCGCUCAGCGUGGUCGGAAAUCACGCGUAGAGUAUAAAGGCAAAAGCGCGCUUAACUGCGAGACCCACAAGUCGAGCAGGUACGAAAGUAGGUCUUAGUGAUCCGGUGGUUCUGUAUGGAAGGGCCAUCGCUCAACGGAUAAAAGGUACUCUGGGGAUAACAGGCUGAUACCGCCCAAGAGUUCAUAUCGACGGCGGUGUUUGGCACCUCGAUGUCGGCUCAUCUCAUCCUGGGGCUGAAGCAGGUCCCAAGGGUAUGGCUGUUCGCCAUUUAAAGAGGUACGCGAGCUGGGUUUAGAACGUCGUGAGACAGUUCGGUCCCUAUCUACCGUGGGCGCUGGAAAUUUGAGAGGAUCUGCUCCUAGUACGAGAGGACCAGAGUGGACGAACCUCUGGUGUACCGGUUGUGACGCCAGUCGCAUCGCCGGGUAGCUAUGUUCGGAAGGGAUAACCGCUGAAAGCAUCUAAGCGGGAAGCCUACCUCAAGAUAAGAUUUCCCUAGGACUUUAUGUCCUCUAAAGAGCCGUUCGAGACUAGGACGUUGAUAGGUUGGAUGUGGAAGCAUAGUGAUAUGUGAAGCUGACCAAUACUAAUUGCUCGUGAGGCUUGACUAUACAACACCCAAGCAGUUG
This 1526-nucleotide ribosomal RNA is filed under the name Acinetobacter baumannii. RNAcentral's name for it is "partial 23S ribosomal RNA". It matches the Rfam family "Bacterial large subunit ribosomal RNA", at positions 1438 to 2925 of the family's 2925-position model. The record is from RNAcentral. Lineage: Bacteria; Pseudomonadati; Pseudomonadota; Gammaproteobacteria; Moraxellales; Moraxellaceae.